RNAcentral lists this ribosomal RNA (253 nucleotides) under uncultured bacterium. Its description in RNAcentral is "partial 16S ribosomal RNA". It matches the Rfam family "Bacterial small subunit ribosomal RNA", at positions 524 to 776 of the family's 1533-position model. The record is from RNAcentral.
CACGGGGGGAGCAAGCGUUGUUCGGAAUUACUGGGCGUAAAGGGCGCGUAGGCGGCCUACUAAGUCAGACGUGAAAUCCCCCGGCUUAACCUGGGAACUGCGUCUGAUACUGGAAGGCUUGAGGAUGGGAGAGGGAUGUAGAAUUCCAGGUGUAGCGGUGAAAUGCGUAGAUAUCUGGAGGAAUACCGGUGGCGAAGGCGGCAUCCUGGACCAUUACUGACGCUGAGGCGCGAAAGCCAGGGGAGCAAACGGG